This 392-nucleotide ribosomal RNA is filed under the name uncultured archaeon. RNAcentral's name for it is "bacterial SSU rRNA". It matches the Rfam family "Archaeal small subunit ribosomal RNA", at positions 854 to 1252 of the family's 1478-position model. The record is from RNAcentral.
ACUUAAAGGAAUUGGCGGGGGAGCACCACAAGGGGUGAAGCUUGCGGUUUAAUUGGAGUCAACGCCGGAAAUCUCACCGGGAGCGACAGCAGUAUGAAAGCCAGAUUAAAGGUCUUGCUAGACGAGCUGAGAGGAGGUGCAUGGCCGUCGCCAGUUCGUGCCGUGAGGUGUCCUGUUAAGUCAGGCAACGAUCGAGACCCGCGUCCUCUGUUGCAACCAGCUUUGAGCUGGGCACACUGAGGAGACCGCCACUGAUAAAGUGGAGGAAGGAGCGGGCCACGGCAGGUCAGUAUGCCCCGAAUCUCCCGGGCCACACGCGAGCUGCAAUGGCAAGUACAAUGGGUUCCGACCUCGAAAGGGGGAGGCAAUCUCGAAAGCUUGCCGUAGUUGGA